Molecule: long non-coding RNA, 5303 nt
Organism: Cavia porcellus (domestic guinea pig)
Lineage: Eukaryota; Metazoa; Chordata; Mammalia; Rodentia; Caviidae
Exons: 3
Source: RefSeq, a predicted model, not a curated record
CCAUUCUGCUGCCCUGCCCACAGCCUUGCUCGGCUGUCCGCCUGGCACAGAGGACGCCUGCCAGCUCUUCUAGGAGGGGUCCUUGGGCUGGGACAGUCAGUCUGCUCCCCCACGACCCUCCCCCACAGCACAGAGCGAAGCAAGCACUCACUUAGAUUAAUUAAUCUGCUGCCCAGCCUGCUCCUCCAACUUAUCUUUUAUUCAUGGACGAGCAGCAUUCUCCGCUUUACCAGGACGUGGGCAUCAAUAUUUCAUCUUGCUUAGCCUGCUAGCACCCAGCUCCCUCUCUCUUGCUUCCCACGGGCUCUAGGACCCAGAAGCUGGGCGUGCUGGUCGACCUGCAGACCUAGGAUGCCAGCCGGCCUCCUUGGGCCCCUGACCUGUCCUCCAUGCCAUCCAUCGCUGGCAGAGCGGGGCCCCAGCCAGGUGCAUUUCUGAACACCGUCUUGGUCCAGGCUGUACCUGGCCCUGGCUGCAGCCCUGCCACCCCUUCUCCUUCCUUGGGAGGAUUACAUCGUUGAAUCAUUGAACCAACCCAGGGAGCAGCAGAUUUCUGUGAUCACAGCCAGAGGACCGUCCCAAGGCACUCACAGGGACUGUCCUCCCCAGGGAAACCAAGGCUCGGGAGGACUGGACAGGCCAAAGCCAAGGAAGAUGGCAGAGCUGGGGUGUGAGCUCAGUCGUGUCCAACUCCAAAGCCCCCACUGCCCUCUGCCGACUGAGGCCCCACAUGCUGCCUGCGUUCAUCACCCAGACACUGCGCCUGUCUGCACAGGACUCCCAGAUCGAGGCAGAUGUGCCUGGUGAUCUCAAGGAGACGUGGACAGGGCCCCCCAGGCUGGGGCAGCCGGGUUCUGUCUCCUCCUGCUCUGCUGCCCACUAGCUUGCAGACCCCGGCUAAUCACUUUCUGAGAUUCAGUUUCCUAUCUGUAGAGUAGAAACUGACUCGGUUGAUAGGAGCUCCGCAUAUGAAAAUGCAGGUGGAAAAUGCCUGUAAACCCUAAAUGGCUCUAGAAUUAUUUGGUGGAAGAAGACUUAGGCUGUUUCCAUCCUGCCCCACCGCCUUUUUUUCUUGCUGCCUGCAUCCCCAGACUUCCUACCAACACCCAGUUCAGAUUUACCUCCUCCUCCAGGAAGCUUCCUCCAAGGGAGGAUUGACUCCUUCCAAGGUACAUUGUCCCAGCUGCUUCCUGCUUUGGGUUUCGCAUUUGAGUCCUUAAAUUCUUUGGGAGAGCACCGGUAUAUGCAUCCAAGCCUCCUACAGACUGUUAUGGCACAGGGCAGUGCCUUUGUUCCCUCCCCUCUUUCUGAAUGCUCAGACCUCUGGCCCUGCAUUCAGGCUGUACCGCAUCAACGGUGCAGGCUCACUGGCUGGGUGGAGAUGGACACUGAAAACCUACAGAUAAUCCCCAAACCAAGAAGGGUGGUACAGGGCAGCGGAUGUGUGCGAGGGGAUGAGUGCACACAUGUACCCUCUUCUGUGUCUGCAGCUGUCACCUGAGCUUGUCUGCAGCGGACACUGUACCCAGCAUUUAUUUUAUAGUUUAUCGAGUGCUUCCCCGUAUGUUAAACGAUAUGGUUCUCAAUAGCUUCCACUAGGGAAGUGGCAGUGGUAGGGGCCCACUGUCGCUGCUCAGAGCAGGACAGAGUCCAGCCUUGCCCACCACCCCUACGACCCACGAGGAGCCCCGGCCUCUGCCUCCCUCCGAAGCUGUGGUGCUCACCGGAGGUUCCUAGGGCGGACGGGGAGCACUGGAGUGUGUGCCAGGGAGGCCUCACCGAGGGGGGAAGGCGACUUCUGAGGGUUUCAGGACUCCCCCAGAAGCAUGUGCUUGGAGCAGAGCCACCCCAAGUCCGGCAGGAAUCUAAGCUGUGACCCAGAACACACUUGCGAUUGGUCUCAUUGAGGCCAUGGGGGCUGGGCCUCCUUCCUCUGGAGUCAUGGUGCCCUUGGGGGCCUGAGCAAGAAGAGAGGGGCUGGAACCCGAGGAGGGGUCUUGAGGACCUCUGCCCAGCCUGGGCGGCCCCUUCCCUCCUCCCAGUACUGCUCCCCAGAAUGAGGCAGCAGCAGAGGGGCCCUCAGAAACACUUGAGGCCUGAUUGGGCGUAAGUGUCUGAUAAUGACUCCCAUCAAAUGUCAAGCUGCGUGCUGCGGCUCCUGGGGCUGAUUACUCCCCCUGGGAGGGGGUGCAGUGGGGGAAGUCUGAUCCUGGAUGCUUCUCCACUGUGGAGAUCCACCCCAGGCUGGUCGGCAAGGCAAGGCAAGGCAGUUCUCCUGGCUGGGCUCACCCUGCACACAGCUCCAGGGCCCGCCCUGCUGAGCACUGCCUCUGGCUGGAACUGAAGGGGCGGGGCCGAGACAAGCACUUCCCCAAAGCACUGCCCCACCCAGGGCCUUGCAAUGGACAGAGGAAAAGGAACCUGGACUGGCUCUUUGCAGAAAAGGCAAGGUUCUGGGGAGCACGAGCCACCGAGACUCGAUGACUGUGACAAAAGUGUUUCUCAGGAGUCUCUGGGUUAGCUGAGUGAGACUGCUGGUCUGGGCCUUAUCUCAGAGCUGGCUCUCUGUCACCUCUGCUGUGUUCUGUUGGCUAUCACAAGUGCUGCAGUUUGGAUCUUGAAUGUUUCUUGGAGGCUCAUGGGCUAUGUCACCACAGGUCAAAGUGACAGAGCCAAAUAGUCAGGGUUUGAAACUUCUGAGACUCUGAACCAAAGUAAACCUUUCUUUUCUUUAAGUUAAUUCUCUCAGGUAUUUUGUCAGAGUAACAGGACGCUGACUAACACAGCAAGUCACAAGGCAGUUUAGAUUCCAUUGGAAAAGAAACAGACUCCAUUUCCUCCUGGGAGAAGCUAUAAACUCCCAUCACCAAGGGCUGUGAGUACCAAGAGAUGGACUUGGAGAAUAUCAUGAUUGGAAAAUAGUUUGAGUGUCCCUUGAGGGUCCGGUUGCUGGAGGCUUCACCCUCAGGGUAAGACAGCAAGUGGACAAAUACUUAUAAAUCCUAAAGUGCUGUGCCUAUGUCCCUUGCUAGAGUCACAGGCCUCCUUCGUGACAACAGGCUUCCUGGGAAAAACUGUCCUGUUGUCUUGGGGACUUAUGGAUUUUGUUCAUUUCCGGUAAUAACUAAUACUAGGCUUUUUUAAAUUAUUAAGUAAUUUCUUCUUUGGAAGAAGAAACAUCAAAGAGUUUGCUGAGUUAGACUUGUGGCAGAGAAAGUUCUAGAAAUGAAGUCACGGUCCUCCAGGGCAGGAGGCUGAGGGCACUAAGUGUCACUCUGAGUGUCUGAGCAGUUCAGAGCCAGCCAGUGUCCCCGAUCCACUCUGUGUCCCAAGUGUAGAUGCUAGUGAGUGUGCCUCAGCUCUCGUCCUGCCUCCACCGGGAAGGUAUUUCACUGCACACACACAGACACUGCGCCUGUGACCGUGUGGGGUGGGGGCAGAGCGACGAAUGCCAGUCUGCAGUUGGCUGUCAUGGUUUGGUGUCUGACCUGUGCCAGGUGAAUUACAGAGAAUCAUGGCUGAUAGACGUGUGGUAGAGACUGAGCAUAGCCCUUCUGCUUCCGUGGCUGUUACUGGCCCUAACACUGCCUGGGGAUCACUGAGUUCCAAGUCCAGCAGGAGCAGAAGAUGCUGAAGUGGCCAUGAAGGUUGUGGGUAGGAUUCAGAUUAGAUGAAUCAAGAACUUCUUCACUUCUGUGAGUUGUAACAAUAACAACAAUAAUAAUAACUGACUUCAUCAAGCACUUACCACGUGCCAGGUACCACGCUAAAACUUUCACAGACUGUAUCCCAUUGAGAGAUUGACGGUAACUUGCUCAAGGUUCCCCAGCAGGUGAGAAGGUGAGGUGGGCCUGAAUGCAGGUGGCCUGAUGCCACCUGAGGUCUGACGCUCGUUGCUAAAGCCACAUCCACUGCCUUCUGCCUUGGGCCUGUCCAGGUCCCUCUGCCAGGUGGGGAGGGUCGCUGCCAGGGGACAGGAAAGUGCACUGCCUUAUCCAUGGAAGGAGCAGCUGGACUUUGUGCCUUCCCCAAGUGGAGCAGUGUACACAGAAUAGGUGCGUGAGUGGAACAUGUCUGGCCAGGCUCUACCGUGAAGGAAGGAUGCAUCGCUCGGGUACCCAAGGCCAUUAGCCCCCUUCCCACAUGGGGGCUGCUCUCUGGCUGUUUAUCAUGCCCAGGGUGUGGAAUUGAUUCCAACAAGCUUGUCCAUUUCCUCCAGAAAGAGUGCAGAGUAGGGGUAUGUGUUCAGGGACAGACCUGGGUUGGUAAUACCUUCCAUAGGGGCAUUUUCCCAGGGGCCUUUGGAACAUCCUCUGCAAGGAUAGGGAGCUGUCCAGGGUCGCCUGGGGCUGGGUGGAAAAAACUGAGACAGUGUGAGCUGGAAGGAAGGCGUCUGUACGAGGCAAUCUGUCAGUGAGGUUAGGGACCUAGGCAGGGUUCAGAGGGCACAUCUGUGGUAUUGUAGGGGGGCAUUUAAUGGGGCCAUUCUGAUGGGGACUGUGGGGCCUGGAGCCCAGCCUAAUGUCUCUAGAAAAGACAAGGACAAGGUAUGGGCCAUUCUCUGUGUAUAUUGCUCAAUUCAGAGCCAGGGUUCUACGGGUUUUUUGAGGUCCAGUAAUGAAGAUAAUGGUAAUUAUUAUCAACAAAUACUUAGCACCUGUUAUUCUGUUAUCCUCCAGGUUUCAGAUGAGACCUGGGAUGUAAUGAUAGAAAAGAUGUGGUCCAAAGUUCAGAAUCCAGAGAAAGAGAGAGAGAUAGAGAUAGAUAGAUAGAUAGAUAGAUAGAGAGAGAGAGAGAGAGAGAGACAGAGAGUUAUUUGGGGUGCUGCUGGUGACUCACAUAGAGGGUCAUGCCCCUGUGAAGUCUUCCAAAAUAGAGUCAUGAAUACAGUCAUGAACAAAGCGUUUGGGAGGAAUUCAGGCAGGGGACACGCAGGCUGGGUCAUCAGAAUGAGUGUCACUCAGCAAGGAGGGGCACACUCCUUCAGCCAGUGCUAUGGUCUCAAUUUGCACCCCCAGCUGCCCCAAACUCAUAAUUAAAAUCCUAAGUCUCAUGGUGAUGGUAUUUGGGGUGUGGUCUUUAUGGGGUGAUUAUAUCACAAGGGUCUGGUCCUCACAAAUGAGGUUAGUAUCUUUAUAAAAGAGACCUGAGGGAGGCUCUGAUCUUUCUACCAUGAGAGGACACAGCUAAAAUUGCCAUCUAUGAACUCAAAAGCUCUUAUCACACACCAGAUAUGCUGGGGUCUUGAUCGUGGACUUCUCAUCCUUUGGAAAUAUGAAAAAUAAAUUUCUGUUGUUUAUAAA